AAGUAUUUCAUUGACGUACAAAAUUAGCUAUACCAAUUAAACUACAUAUGGCAGCCCAUACGCAUUGUGAAAGUGGACCAACCUUAAAUAGACUUUUAAAAAGCAUAUCCAAAGAAUAAUCCCAAACAGUAACCCUAAUGUUAAAAUUUCUCACAACACCAAUGUAUUAUAUUAUACUAGCUAGGAAACUAGGCUAUAGAAAAUAAGUAAAAGAGGUGGCAAAAAAUGGUGCCAGCAGUCGCGGUUACACCAGUACCUCAAGUUAAUUCUAACAAACCGGAGUGGUUUCAAGCCUUAAAGACUACAAAAUUAACUUUUAACGUAAAAAAUAAAUUAAAACUAAACCCAAUCUAGUCAUAACUCAACUACCCCAACAAACCACAACCUCAGAACUCGGAUUAGAUACCCGACUAGCUUUGAGGCUCAACGUAAAAAAGAAUACUACGAGCGAAAGCUUAACCUCAAACAAUGUGGCGGUGCUUUACUCCUUAUCCAGGGGAUCCUGUGGCUUAAUUCGAUAAUCCACGAAAAUCUUAGCUAUUCUCGCAUUACAGCUUGUGUAUGGCCCGUUUAUGCUUGCUCAAAGAAGAGAAAAAAGGAAGCAAUAGGGCUAAUUACCCAAAAAUUCAGGUGACAUACAGCCAAUGAAUAGCAGAUCCAUGGGAUACAAAUAAAUACACUAUCAAACUUAAAGCGUCAAACUUUAACGAAGGAGGACUUGAAAGUAAGACCUCAACCCAUUAUAUCAAAUAGGUCUGAAUAAGAACUAAAGCGCGCACAAAUCGCCCGUCACUCCGAUAACAAAGUCGGAUAAGUCGUAACAUAGUAGGGGUAAUGGAAAUUGCCCCUAUCACA
Molecule: non-coding RNA, 855 nt
Filed under: Lanceolaria lanceolata
Lineage: Eukaryota; Metazoa; Mollusca; Bivalvia; Unionida; Unionidae
Source: RNAcentral